AGAAUAAGGUCACCGUAUAAAGAUCUGCUUGGAACAUGAAACUUUAAGUGAAGCCUACAAAUUUCAAAAACUCUUCAUAAUGGAAGUUUAUCAGGACCUUGGCCAGUGCUCAUUUAAAAACUGCAGUCCCGCUUAAAUCCCUCCCUGCUCCUGUCAUAAGCAAGAGGGAAACUGCUUAACCUGAAAGAAAGCUGUGGCUCACAGAGAGAUGGCUGCUGUAUUGAGCUCAGUACAGAAAGUAAGUCACCAUGAGGGAGAAAACUCAUCUUGGGAUGUACAAUUCAUGGAUACAUCUGAGAAGAAAAGAAUGCCAGUGCAGCAUGAAUGUCCUCUUAUGAUGUAAGAAACUGGAAGUCACCUCCUAGGACAAAAGCAAGGAGCACUCGCACUUGACUCAACCUACUCCCCAGACUGAGACAGGGAAUUUGGCUGAAGCAGAAUAUAAAAGGAUCAUCCAGAAAUCUCCCUGAGAUAUUCAACUUCUCCUCCUACCACCGCUGAAACCUCAUGUGGCAUGGAAGAAAACACUGUGUAACCUUUUCUGUUCAUAUUCUUCAUUUUUUUUUUUAUUACAGCAUGGAUUCAUUCUUAAUUUUUGAAAGAGUGCUUAUAUCCAACAUUUUCACUUUUUUUUUUUCCUGUCCAACAGUCCUUAUGCCAUAUAAUAUUUUUAAAUUAUUAACUCAGUAUUUCUACUUAGCUCCUUGUGUUUUCAUACCCUUCCAUUUUAUUGGGUUUUCUCUUUUUCAUGGUCAUAUCUUUCAACUUCUUUGCACCUUUUCCAUGAUCCAGAAGACCUAUUAUCAUUCUGUUGCAAAAUAUGUCUCUUCUAUGAAAUUUUAUUUCUUCCUCAUUUCUUUCUUUACUUCAUUUAGUUGUUUUAUUUUCCUUUUACAUAUCCCUCCUCUGUAACCUCCUUCUCUGGGUUCUUCUUCUAAUAUACAUCUGCCUUUUCCAGAUCUGCCUUCUACAUUUGGCACAUAGCACUGCACGUAUACCCUACUAUAAUUCAUAGAAUAGAAUCACAGAACUCAUCUGUCUCUGAUAACCUGAAGCUGCAUACUAAAGUGGCAUCUAGAAAAAGACUAGUAAAAAAAUGGGUGAUGGCAUUUUUGGGGCUAAAUUUCAGAUGUAAUUGAAGUAGCUUUGCAUUGUGGAAGAUUUUAUUUUUCUACGUUGAUGGAUGAAGAAAUAGGUCUAAAUAUCAAAAUAAAAAGAGGCAGGGAGGAAGGGCAAUGGAAAGGUGAAGUAAUGGAGGGAAUAAACAUGGUCUUUCAUUUCUAUUUUGUCAGCAUAUACUAAAAUUAAAAUACUAAAUGUGUGUAUUCAGUUAAUGCCAAGAUCAAAAAAGUCUCCCUCCAUAGGUGAAUUCUUCUAGCACAGGUGUGCUGGAAGAGGUUUUAUGCAAAGUUAGGUGGUUGUUCCUUAAUACAGUUGUUAUGUCGUGCCUGUCAGCUCUAGCACACUCACCAAUUUGCUCCUUGUGUUGUUUACAAAACACAGUGACAGUACGCAUUUUGUCCUUGCCAGCAGAUGCAGCUGUUAAGGAUUUUCUUUUUUCUUUUUUUUCUUGAUGGAUGUAAACACAAUAGUUGUGAUAUGGCCUUGAUGUGCAAAAACAAACAAAAAAAAACCCAAAACAAACAAACAAACAAAAAAACUAUGUAAAAGUAAGAAGAAAACCAAUUCCAAACCUUUAUUUAAGUAUGAAGACAUUGCUAGUAAUUAAUCUCUUUCUGUUUUUACUUGUUUAGUUUGUAGUUUUUUACAACUGCUCAGCAUCUAAAGGUCUGAGAUAUAUGUAAUGAAUGACCUCUUAUUUGAGCCUGCUUCCCUCCUCUCGAGGGGAAGAUUUUUGAUGGCUUUUAAUUCCAUCGAAUCCUGUUUCAUAACUGAACUCAGAGUCAUAUCUUUGCCUUACAGUAAUCGUACAAAAUAUCUAGAAUGUAGGAACCUUGCGAUAUACCAAAUAAUUCUUUCCUGGACUGUGCAUUUGCAGCACAUUUCAAGCAAUAAAACUCUUCUAGAUAUCAAAGGGGGAAAUGUAGUCUGCAUUUUAUAAGGAACUUGUUUUCUGUCAUGUUUAUAACAUAAAAAUUAAAUGGAAGUACAUAUUCAUAAUAAAGUAUUGCAGAG
Gallus gallus (chicken) is the source of this 2136-nucleotide long non-coding RNA. NCBI's taxonomy places the organism in Eukaryota, Metazoa, Chordata, Aves, Galliformes, Phasianidae. The record is from Ensembl.